Molecule: ribosomal RNA, 1365 nt
Filed under: uncultured Halorubrum sp.
Lineage: Archaea; Methanobacteriati; Methanobacteriota; Halobacteria; Halobacteriales; Haloferacaceae
Description: bacterial SSU rRNA
Rfam family: Archaeal small subunit ribosomal RNA
Source: RNAcentral
CUGCCGGAGGCCAUUGCUAUUGGGAUCCGAUUUAGCCAUGCUAGUCGCACGAGUUCAGACUCGUGGCGAAUAGCUCAGUAACACGUGGCCAAACUACCCUUCGGAACACAAUACCCUCGGGAAACUGAGGCUAAUAGUGUAUACCAUACCACCACUGGAAUGAGUGGUAUGCCAAACGCUCCGGCGCCGAAGGAUGUGGCUGCGGCCGAUUAGGUAGACGGUGGGGUCAGCAGGCGCGAAACCUUUACACUGCACGACAGUGCGAUAGGGGGAUCCCAAGUGCACAGGCAUAGCGCCUGUGCUUUUCGGUACCGUAAGGUGGUACCAGAAUAAGGGCUGGGCAAGACCGGUGCCAGCCGCCGCGGUAAUACCGGCAGCCCAAGUGAUGGCCGAUCUUAUUGGGCCUAAAGCGUCCGUAGCUGGCCGCGCAAGUCCAUCGGGAAAUCCACCUGCUCAACAGGUGGGCGCCCGGUAGAAACUGCGUGGCUUGGGACCGGAAGGCGCGACGGGUACGUCCGGGGUAGGAGUGAAAUCCCGUAAUCCUGGACGGACCGCCGAUGGCGAAAGCACGUCGCGAGAACGGAUCCGACAGUGAGGGACGAAAGCCAGGGUCUCGAACCGGAUUAGAUACCCGGGUAGUCCUGGCCGUAAACAAUGCCUGCUAGGUGUGGCUCCCACUACGAGUGGGUGCUGUGCCGUAGGGAAGCCGCUAAGCAGGCCGCCUGGGAAGUACGUCCGCAAGGAUGAAACUUAAAGGAAUUGGCGGGGGAGCACUACAACCGGAGGAGCCUGCGGUUUAAUUGGACUCAACGCCGGACAUCUCACCAGCAUCGACUGUAAUAAUGACGACCAGGUUGAUGACCUUGUCCGAGUUUCAGAGAGGAGGUGCAUGGCCGCCGUCAGCUCGUACCGUGAGGCGUCCUGUUAAGUCAGGCAACGAGCGAGACCCGCAUCCUUACUUGCCAGCAGUACCGCGAGGUAGCUGGGGACAGUAGGGAGACCGCCGUGGCUAACACGGAGGAAGGAACGGGCAACGGUAGGUCAGUAUGCCCCGAAUGUGCUGGGCAACACGCGGGCUACAAUGGUCAGGACAAAGGGUUCCUACUCCGAAAGGAGACGGUAAUCUCAGAAACCUGAUCGUAGUUCGGAUUGUGGGCUGCAACUCGCCCACAUGAAGCUGGAUUCGGUAGUAAUCGCGUGUCACAAGCGCGCGGUGAAUACGUCCCUGCUCCUUGCGAGUGAGGUCCGGAUGAGGCGUUCCACAGGUCCGGAUGAGGCGUUCCACGAACGUCGAAUCUGGCUUUGCAAGGGGGCUUAAGUCGUAACAAGGUAGCCGUAGGGGAAUCUGCGGCUGGAUCACCUCCU